GCCGAAUCAUGAAGCCCGCUGAACCGGCAAUUCUGGCCGAAACUGGACCAAAACCGGGCCCCUAUCCGGGUCUGCCUAAAACCCUAGUUGUCUCUGCUUUUCUCACCGUCUAUUCCUAUGUAUCAUCAUCACUAAACCCUAGCUUCUCCAGUUUUAAGCGUGUCCUUUUGUACUGUUUGUAAUUGGAGAAAAUGGAAGGGGAUGCAGAAGAGAGGCAGAUUCAAGCACGAUUCGUUACAAAACUGAAAACUCCAUACAAAGUCCCAGCAACUGCCAUUACCAUCCCAGCUAAUCUCACCCGUCUCGGCCUCUCCACCAUCGUCAAUAGCCUCCUCAAAGCCGGGAAUCCUGAUUGGGAGAAUCAACCAUUUGAUUUUCUUAUUGAUGGAGAGCUUGUUCGAAUGUCACUUGAGCAGUUUCUUCUUGCUAAGGGCAUUUCCGCGGAGAAGAUAAUAGAAAUUGAAUACAUUAAGGCAGUUGUCCCUCGGAAACAGGAGGAGCCUUCUUUGCAUGAUGACUGGGUCAGUGCAGCUGAUGGUUCUUGUCCUCGGUUCAUUUUGACAGGGUGCUAUGAUGGUCUUGGAAGGUGAAAUAUAAACAGAAGCUUUGUGUAUCCUUUCUAGACAUUGAACUUCUUUAUGUUUUCUUCUUGCAUUUUCUUGAUUAUUUUCUUCUCAUAAUGUGUUAUGAAAUGAAUUUAUGCCAGGUUUUUUGUUCAUAUUAUUUAGGGUGUGGAAAGCUGCUGGCCUAUGUACACAUAUGCUAGAGGGACACAGUGAUGCAAUUACUUAUGUUAGUAUCAUUUUCUCAGGAGUUAUGAACAAGAAACUAUCAGUUCUUGCUGAAAGUGGCUUUAUUAGCUCUUCUGUGGCUACUUGUUUAAAAAUGGUAUAGUUGCUUUUCUAUAUAAUAUCAAACAAGAAUGAAUACACAGAUUCAUAAUAAACUAUUUAAUGUUAACCAAUCUGUGAUCACUCGUUGAAUAUUGUAUAUAUGGUUUCUUUUCAAGUUUCAUUGAACGUGCUUGUAACUCCAUUCUGAUGAUCAACUGUCUUUCUAGUAAUAAAGAGGAUAAAAUCUGCUCAAUGUAUCUCAUUCCAGUAGCUAAUAUGUAAUAAAUUCAGCAUAUAGCUAUAAUUUUUCAUCUGACUUCAAAAAUUGUUUGUGACAAAAGGUUCUAAAAAUAUAAAGUUUUUUUAUAGCAGGGGAAAUUAUUCUGUCACCAUGCUUUCUACGUUAGUUCCUUAGAUGUGUGGACAUCUAAUUCUUUUCCUUUAUUGUUCUUCUCGAUUAGAUUUGUUUUAAUCAAAAUUUCCUUUUGAUGUUAUUGAUUCUUUUCAUUUCUAGGUUCAUUUUAGUUUUCUUUUAGGCUGUUUAAACUCUAAAUUUAGCUUUGUUUUGUAACAAAAAGGAAAAACUGGUUUUGUCACAUGUUUUGAUAUGGUGAUGUGAAACCUUUCACUGGGAAUUCUGUUCAAUAUGUCUUGAAUCUUCUGCAUGUUUCUUACAUCUUCAGGAUUGGAUAUAUUGGUGAUAAUAUCAUGCACAUUUAUCUUCAUUUGCUUGUUUAUUGAGUGCUCAAUUAUUUGUUUUGUUCAAGUUGUGGUUGACUGAAAGCUGAUCCUUCAUUGAUUGGGUUGUGUCUUGAUGUGUAGCUGAGGAUAGUUUUACGGUAGCCACUGCCUGAAAAGAUCAAACUCUCAGGCUUUGGAAGGUAAUGGGACCAAAAUUACUGUUUUAUAAAAGUGAAGUUGUCCUGUUACUUGGUGCAUUCCCUUUCUCCUGAAAGUUUGAUACAGAAGAACCUGAAAAUUCUCCUGCAAACAUUAGGGCUUUCAAAAUUUUGCGUGGGCAUAAUGCAUCUGUGCAAAGUGUUGCUGCUGAAACUUCUGGAAGCAUGGUCUUUUCUAUCACUUUUGUCCUCGUUGAUACUAAUAUUUUUGUGGUUGACUUUAGAACUUAAGUUCAUUUCUUCCUUGUUUAUGGUUAUUUAUAACUUAGAUUUGUUUGGGUUCUUGGGAUUGUACGAUCAAUUUAUGGAAGACGGAUGAGUAUACAGAAGGUGAUUUAGUGUCAAUUAAGAAGAGAAAAGUGAAAAACAAAGCCAAGGAAUCUCAGUUGGAGGUUUUGGAUGCCUCGAAUCUUCCAUUUGUUUGCCACAUACUUAUGCUUGUCUCACUUGUUUCCAAAGCUUUCGAUAACAAACAAAAUUUCUUCAUGGGUCAAUAACAACUUAACUUGAGUGGGUUUGAGUGGGUUUGACUCUGAAACAAGAUGGCGUUGAUACGUCUAUGUGUGUUCCCUCGUGGGAAAAAAAUCAUUUGCUGAGACAGAAAUAAAGAUAUCAAAUUUCUGCCAAGAUAGCUGGAAAUUCCAACCAAUAAAAAUCCCAAUGAACCUAUUUACUGAAACUCAUGAUUCUUAAUUUGUUAAACAUUGCAAACACUUCACAUAAUUCUUUUUAUGAGACAAAAUACUUCUCAUGCUGUGAAAAAGGAAUGGACUAAUUUUAAAUAGUGAAAUAAUGUUCUCAUUUUGGGUUACGUCUUUGUAUUCCCUAGUCAUCAAAGCAUUGUUUCCUUGUAACAGACAUAGAAAAGGCAUUUCCUGUUGAAGAGAACUUGAAAGAUUCUUUCAUCUUUUGGGUGAGGGCAUGCUGUAGGUUGCUUGUAUUCUUUUUGCAUUUGUGAGCUUGAGCUGAGGCUUAAGAAUUUAUCAUUUCUCUCAAUUAUUAUUAUUAUUAUUAUU
Molecule: unclassified non-coding RNA, 2748 nt
Filed under: Hevea brasiliensis (rubber tree)
Lineage: Eukaryota; Viridiplantae; Streptophyta; Magnoliopsida; Malpighiales; Euphorbiaceae
Source: RNAcentral